CCUACGGGUGGCAGCAGUGGGGGAUAUUGCACAAUGGGGGAAACCCUGAUGCAGCGACGCCGCGUGGGCGAAGAAGUAUUUCGGUAUGUAAAGCCCUAUCAGCAGGGAAGAAGAAAGGACGGUACCUGAGUAAGAAGCAGCGGCUAAAUACGUGCCAGCAGCCGCGGUAAUCCGUAUGGGGCAAGCGUUAUCCGGAUUUACUGGGUGUAAAGGGAGCGAAGGCGGCACGGCAAGCCUGAUGGGAAAGCCCGCGGCCCAACCGCGGGACUGCAUUUGCUACUACCGGGCUUGAGUGCCGUUGAGUUAGGCGGACUUCCUUGUGUAGCGGUGACAUGCUUAGAUAUUACGAGGAACCCCAGUUGCGAAGGCAGCCUACUGGACUGUGACUGACGCUGAUGCUCGACAGCGUGGGUAUCAAACAGGAUUAGCUACCCCAGUAGUC
RNAcentral lists this ribosomal RNA (442 nucleotides) under uncultured bacterium. RNAcentral's name for it is "partial 16S ribosomal RNA". It matches the Rfam family "Bacterial small subunit ribosomal RNA", at positions 338 to 795 of the family's 1533-position model. The record is from RNAcentral.